GACAAGCAUUCAUUUGGUUCCCAACUUCUUGCUUUUUAUUCAUUCAACAAAUACUUGCUGUUCACUUACUAAGUGGCAGGCAGAGGACUAGAUGCUAAGGGCAUAAGUAGAUGUGUUAGGAGACACUUCCUGAAGCUUUUGUUUGCAGUGGAAAAAGUAGCCUUAAAGCCCUCUUAGUUCCUCUGUCUUCUACCAUCACUGAAUCCUGCCCCCUUUUCUAAUACUUAUCUCUCUUUUCCAGAUGCUGGUAUUGGCUCUGGUCAUCUCACCCCGUUUCCUGUCCAAUAUGUACAGUUCACAGACAGUGUCUUA
This 312-nucleotide long non-coding RNA is filed under the name Homo sapiens (human). RNAcentral's name for it is "HSALNT0029119". The record is from RNAcentral. Lineage: Eukaryota; Metazoa; Chordata; Mammalia; Primates; Hominidae.